This 431-nucleotide ribosomal RNA is filed under the name uncultured bacterium. Its description in RNAcentral is "partial 16S ribosomal RNA". It matches the Rfam family "Bacterial small subunit ribosomal RNA", at positions 29 to 507 of the family's 1533-position model. The record is from RNAcentral.
AACGAACGCUGGCGGCAGGCCUAACACAUGCAAGUCGAGCGCGCCCUUCGGGGUGAGCGGCGGACGGGUGAGUAACGCGUGGGAACGUGCCCUUUUCUACGGAAUAGCCUCGGGAAACUGAGAGUAAUACCGUAUACGCCCUUUGGGGGAAAGAUUUAUCGGAAAAGGAUCGGCCCGCGUUGGAUUAGGUAGUUGGUGGGGUAAUGGCCUACCAAGCCGACGAUCCAUAGCUGGUUUGAGAGGAUGAUCAGCCACUGGGACUGAGACACGGCCCAGACUCCUACGGGAGGCAGCAGUGGGGAAUCUUAGACAAUGGGGGCAACCCUGAUCUAGCCAUGCCGCGUGAGUGAUGAAGGCCUUAGGGUUGUAAAGCUCUUUCAGCUGGGAAGAUAAUGACGGUACCAGCAGAAGAAGCCCCGGCUAACUCCGUG